CCGUAGUAAUUCUAGAGCUAAUACAUGCCUGAACGCCCAACUCACGGAGGGCGGUAUUUAUUGGAUAAAAAACCAAUGCACUUCUUCGGUCGUGCCUUGAGAUGAUUCAUAAUAACUUGUCGGAUCGUAUGGCCUUGUGCCGGCGACCGCUCAUUCAAAUUUCUGCCCUAUCAACUUUCGAUGGUAGAGUAUUGGUCUACCAUGGUGUCGACGGGUGACGGGGAAUUAGGGUUCGAUUCCGGAGAGGGAGCCUGAGAAACGGCUACCACAUCCAAGGAAGGCAGCAGGCGCGCAAAUUACCCAAUCCGAACUCGGG
RNAcentral lists this ribosomal RNA (316 nucleotides) under Wildemania miniata. Its description in RNAcentral is "SSU rRNA". It matches the Rfam family "Eukaryotic small subunit ribosomal RNA", at positions 147 to 461 of the family's 1831-position model. The record is from RNAcentral. Lineage: Eukaryota; Rhodophyta; Bangiophyceae; Bangiales; Bangiaceae.